Mugil cephalus (flathead mullet) is the source of this 709-nucleotide long non-coding RNA. RefSeq lists it as uncharacterized. The transcript is spliced from 3 exons. Lineage: Eukaryota; Metazoa; Chordata; Actinopteri; Mugiliformes; Mugilidae. The record is from RefSeq and is a predicted model, not a curated record.
UACUACUACUUCAUCCUCACUAGGUUAGCGGGGGUUGCUGGAGUCUAUCCCAGCUGCAUCUGUCGAGAGGCAGAUUACACCCUGGACAAAUCGCCAGCCUAUCGCAGGGCUAAAACAUAGCCAAACAACAACACUCACACCUAUUUAGAGUCACCAAUCAGCCUAACGAGCAUGUCUUUGGAGGUGGGAGGAAACCGGAGUACCCGGACAAAACACACGCGGUUAUUAGCUAAUAUCACUAGCUAAAUAAUUUGCUCAUUCGUCUUGUGUUUACCUUGAUCCUGUGUAAACGCCAUAAUAAUGGCGCCCUCUUGUGGAGUAUAUAGUCCCAGUUCGCCAAGCUGUGACGUGUUUGUGGAUGUUCUCAGAAAUGACGGAAGUGAAUGCUAAUGGCAGUGAGUAACCAUCCAGAUCCAACAGCACCGUUCCUGUCUGGAGACACGUCCUGAGCUCAAAAAGACUGUGCAGGGACAGCGUGGACACGUGGGGUUUACUCCACCGCUCCCCUCCUUCCUCCACCUUCUCUUCGAACUUCACCCACCUGAAGGAAGCAAAUCACACAGGGGAAAGACUGCUCAAUACAAACGGUCAUGCUCGUGGUGCCUCUGGUGGCUGUAGCGUCUGUCCCUGUCCAUGUCACUGGCCUCUCGACUGGAACGUCUUCGCCUGCGCUUGCGUCGAUAUCCUCGAGGCACCGGGACACCAAUAU